UCGAUUGAGUUUGAUCAUGGCUCAGGAUGAACGCUGGCGGUAUGCUUUACACAUGCAAGUCGUACGAGAGUUUUUAACUCAAGUGGCGGGCGGGUGAGUAACACGUAAGAAUUUGCCUUUAGGAGGGGGAUAACAACUGGAAACGGUUGCUAAUACCCCAUAUGCUUUCGAGUAAAAUGGAUUUAUCCGCCUAAAGAGAAGCUUGCGGCUGAUUAGCUUGUUGGUGAGGUAAUGGCUUACCAAGGCGACGAUCAGUAUCUGGUUUGAGAGGACGAUCAGACACACUGGAACUGAGACACGGUCCAGACUCCUACGGGAGGCAGCAGUGGGGAAUUUUCCGCAAUGGGCGAAAGCCUGACGGAGCAAUACCGCGUGAGGGAUGACGGCCUAUGGGUUGUAAACCUCUUUUUUCAGGGAGGAAUCAAUGACGUGUACCUGAAGAAUAAGCAUCGGCUAGCUCCGUGCCAGCAGCCGCGGUAAGACGGAGGAUGCAAGUGUUAUCCGGAAUCACUGGGCGUAAAGCGUCUGUAGGUGGUCAAAUAAGUCAACUGUUAAAUCUUGAGGCUCAACCUCAAAAUCGCAGUCGAAACUAUUCGACUAGAGUAUAGUAGGGGUAAAGGGAAUUUCCAGUGGAGCGGUGAAAUGCGUAGAGAUUGGAAAGAACACCGAUGGCGAAGGCACUUUACUGGGCUAUUACUAACACUGAGAGACGAAAGCUAGGGUAGCAAAUGGGAUUAGAUACCCCAGUAGUCCUAGCCGUAA
This 762-nucleotide ribosomal RNA is filed under the name uncultured bacterium. Its description in RNAcentral is "bacterial SSU rRNA". It matches the Rfam family "Bacterial small subunit ribosomal RNA", at positions 1 to 805 of the family's 1533-position model. The record is from RNAcentral.